RNAcentral lists this ribosomal RNA (253 nucleotides) under uncultured bacterium. RNAcentral describes it as "partial 16S ribosomal RNA". It matches the Rfam family "Bacterial small subunit ribosomal RNA", at positions 524 to 776 of the family's 1533-position model. The record is from RNAcentral.
UACAGAGGGUGCGAGCGUUGUCCGGAAUCACUGGGCGUAAAGGGCGCGUAGGUGGCGGACCAAGUCCGUGGUGAAAGCUCGAUGCUUAACAUCGAGUCGGCCACGGAGACUGGGUGGCUCGAGCACUGUAGGGGCAGAUGGAAUUCCGGGUGUAGCGGUGGAAUGCGUAGGGAUCCGGAAGAACACCGGUGGCGAAGGCGGUCUGCUGGGCAGUUGCUGACACUGAGGCGCGACAGCGUGGGGAGCAAACAGG